This 406-nucleotide ribosomal RNA is filed under the name uncultured bacterium. RNAcentral's name for it is "partial 16S ribosomal RNA". It matches the Rfam family "Bacterial small subunit ribosomal RNA", at positions 30 to 526 of the family's 1533-position model. The record is from RNAcentral.
AUUGAACGCUGGCGGCAGGCCUAACACAUGCAAGUCGAACGAGUGGCGGACGGGUGAGUAAUGUCUGGGAAACUGCCUGAUGGAGGGGUAUAACUACUGGAAACGGUAGCUAAUCCCGCAUACCAUCAGAUGUGCCCAGAUGGGAUUAGCUAGUUGGUGGGGUAACGGCUCACAAAGGCGACGAUCCCUAGCUGGUCUGAGAGGAUGACCAGCCACACUGGAACUGAGACACGGUCCACAAUCGUACGUGAGGGAGCAGUGGGGAAUAUUGCCCACUGGGCGCAAGCCUGAUGCAGCAAUGCCGCGUGUAUGAAGAAGGCGUUCGGGUUGUACAGUAUUUUCAGCAGGGAGGCGUUACUCGCAGAAGAAGCACCGGCUGACUCCGUGCCAGCCGCCGCGGUAAUAC